Molecule: long non-coding RNA, 251 nt
Filed under: Panax ginseng (ginseng)
Lineage: Eukaryota; Viridiplantae; Streptophyta; Magnoliopsida; Apiales; Araliaceae
Description: long non-coding RNA (PGIN_LNC002742)
Source: RNAcentral
AACUUCAUCAGCUGGUGUGACGAAUAUGUUCGAGUGUUGCAUAAUCAAGGGAGGUUGCAAAUGGACACAUCCGAGCGUUUAAAUUUAACAACUCAUCCAACGAAUGCUAACGACUCCAACGAAUUAGUGAUGGUGAAAAUUGAAAUACGUCAAUUACAACUAACUCAACGAUUUGUCAUAAUUGUUAAUGUUAUGUAUGCGGUGUUGUUGUUAAUGUUGUUAAAUCGGUUGUAAUUUUGAUAAUUUUCAUU